This is a long non-coding RNA of Gasterosteus aculeatus aculeatus (three-spined stickleback), 1465 nucleotides long. The record is from Ensembl. NCBI's taxonomy places the organism in Eukaryota, Metazoa, Chordata, Actinopteri, Perciformes, Gasterosteidae.
CAGCGAGGCGCCAAGGGCCGUGGUUCAAGGCAUGUACGUGACUACACAACGUCGACUACACUGUAGCACUUCCUGUUGUGUGAGAUCUGCAAAGGGACUUCUUAGAACUAGAAGCACAUGUUAGCAUUGAAUCGCUGAAGAAGUUGUUUUGUACCGUUGCAGUCUGUUAGUAUCUGAUAAACAUUCUAACCCAGCCGUGUUCUGUCAACAUGUGACUGUUUGAAGCUGGAUCAGACAAAGGGAGCAGGCUGGACAUCAGACCUUUGAUCUGUGUGUGUGUGUGUGUGUAAAAGUGAGGGAGUGUGUUUUUAUAUUAAAGAGUGGGAUGCUUGAGAGAGGAAAGGGACAAGUAAAAACAGGCCUUUUGAUCCAAACCUUGGAUGAAGAGAGGAGUGUUUGUGUACGUGUCUCUCUCUCUGUGUGUGCGUAAGAUACCGUUGACACGAUCAUUGAAACUGCUGCUUUGAGUUUUUAAGUGCAAAUGAGGGGGAAAACACAUUGUGGACCAUACUUGGAAAUGGAAAUAAAACAACUGUAACGUUGUGGUAGAAUCCAGGGGAGACAAUUUGGAAAUUGUGGUGAAAUGUCAAUUGACCUGACGACUGGAAAAUGAAUGAACAUCAUACAUUUAAUGCGCCGCUUGAUAGAUCCUUGGCAUCGUGGACACGUUGAGUAGUAAUUGCUGGAAAAGCAAUGGUGUAUGUCGUAAUCCUGGCUGCAUACCAUUUAGUAUGCAGACCGUCCAUCAGUACCAUUUAGGUCUGCUGCAUUUUGGCACAUAAUAUUUUGUAUUGUAGCUCACUGGCUAACCAUACUGGAUAAUCUAAAUGUAGCAGAGUCACGUUGGUACAUAUCCUCAGCCAAAAUAUGACAGAAUUCCAGUUGCUCUAUUGACAUGCCUGGCUAAAAGGCAAGUAGAAGUAGACUUUUCCCACCAACAAAAAAAGAGAUUCAAACCAGCAACCUUAUGCCGCAUUGCUUUUACAGCGAGAGAAGUCUAUUUUUGUGUUUCAGAGGCAAUGAGGACCAGAAAUAUUAGACUGCUCAGAGAGAGCUGGGUCAUUUUCACCCAGCUUUAUCCAAUUGGCACUCUCAGUCAGUCGGAAUCCAUUCCCUUAACAUUGGCUUCGACAUGCAUCAUACUGCAGCGUGCGCACACAUACCAACUCCAUUUCCACGGGAACAUUGUGUGUGUGUGUGAGACGCCAUUUGUACUGGUUUUGUUGUCAGCAAGGGAAAUAAGCAUUUUCAUCAUACUGUUGUCCCAUUCUGUUUUAAAGUGAUAUCAGGACGUCAUUAAGAGCCGACCCAUUCUAUUCUGUUCUACUGCAUUCAGUCCCUCGACAUCAAAGAGAUUGAUGGUGCAAACAUUAGAUACGUCUCUCCCGGCUCUAAAUUACACUUCAGGAACAAACUGCACAGAAGAAGGAACAAACCAUAAGCUCCCAGCUUUGCCUCUCUGAUG